CUACUGUCCACUACAGAACCCCAGGUCUCACUACUGUCCACUACAGAACCCCAGGUCUCACUACUGUCCACUACAGAACCCCAGGUCUCACUACUGUCCACUACACAACCCCAGGUCUCACUACUGUCCACUACACAACCCCAGGUCUCACUACUGUCCACUACACAACCCCAGGUCUCACUACUGUCCACUACAGAACCCCAGGUCUCACUACUGUCCACUACAGAACCCCAGGUCUCACUACUGUCCACUACACAACCCCAGCUCUCACUGCUGUCCACUACACAACCCCAGCUCUCACUACUGUCCACUACACAACCCCAGGUCUCACUACUGUCCACUACACAACCCCAGGUCUCACUACUGUCCACUACACAACCCCAGGUCUCACUACUGUCCACUACACAACCCCAGGUCUCACUACUGUCCACUACACAACCCCAGGUCUCACUACUGUCCACUACACAACCCCAGGUCUCACUACUGUCCACUACAGAACCCCAGGUCUCACUACUGUCCACUACAGAACCUCAGUUCCCACUACAGUGUUACUACUGUACGAUUGGACCAAUUGACUGACAUGUUUAUUAAGGUACGACUAAAACACCAGAAGAUAGAAUCUGAUUUAGUAGCGAACACUGUCGAGAUGUGGCAUGUAUAUGAAAACCAUACUAUUUAUAUACUACACCAAACCAAGCCCGUUGCCAAAUCCCAGUAGUUAUAGACAGUUUGUUAUACCAGUCUGGAUAAUCGGUCAUACUGGAAGAUACAACUAUCACAAUAUUCAUCCACUGAAAAGUUUACUAUAUAUUUUCAUAUUCAUAUAUUGUUUUAGAUUAUGAUUUUUUUUAAAUAUAUAAUGAAUAUCAUUACACCGCCUUCAAACGAGUACUGAAAUGUCUCGCCGGUGACCUCAUAGCUUACAGAGCACCUUACUGGUGGAUAGAGCUGUGACAUCAGCAGGGCCAACCUUAACAGUGGUGUUUACGUGAAGAAGAAGAAGAAAAAGAUGAUAGAAGAGGCUAUGGUCAUAGAGUCUCUAUAGAAGGGUCCUAGAGCCUCUAACACUACUAACUUGAAUGGUGGAAGCCUGUUCUAUAGAUUAUAUUUCUAUAGUUAUGAGAACCGGUGACAUGACAAGCGUACUAGUACGUGACAAAGCAUAUUCAAUGACUUAGUCUGUUCUAUUAUUAUUGUGUGUAUAUAUAUAUAUAUUUUUUUUGAAAGUUAUACUUGAAAAUGGCAUGAUAUAAUUUACUCAUCAAAGUUUUUUAACUUGUAAAAAAAGAAUAAGAUUGAGAACUUGUAAAAGUGAGCAGGUUAACUUAGUGAAUGUGCUUUGCGAUACAUCCUUUUGGUCAUUGUUUUUAUAGACACACAAGAAUAAAUGAAAGAAUUCUAUUAAUUUCGUUUUUAUUAAAAGGCAAGUGGUGUUUGUUUACUGUUCCCAUUGUGCCAAGUGACUGACAUGUUAAGGUACAACUAAGGUACACAGCUGAAAAUAUAGAAUCUGAUUUAGUCCAAGCAGCGAGGACUGUAUUUAAAGACAUGCUCCGGUACUUUGGCGACUCGUAAGUUUUUUAAAUAUAUUUGUUUUAAACCUCUCGCUUUGGGCUGAAUGUGUCAAUGUGCAGUUCCAUACAUGCAGAAUUACAGUUUCACCUCAAUUAGACACUAAAAUCCCUAGUUUGAAAGCGACUGUUUUCUGGAAGCUGUGCCGUGCCAUUUUCCCUACAUUUCCCCCCAUGUGCGCCAGCCCCCGAGCAAUUCAAGUUCUAGGCAAUGAACUUCAGACCCUUGCAUUUGAGUGACAUCUAGCAAGAGGCCUGUCCAACAUUAUCCAAUGAGGUUGCAGGGUGGGCCCAUUAGCAGAGAGAGAGGCAGAGAGAGAGAGAGACAGAGAGAGGCAGAGAGAGAGAGAGAGAGAGAGAAGCAGAGAGAGAGAGAGAGGCAGAGAGAGACAAAGAGAAGCAGAGAGAGAGAGAGAGGGAGAGAGAAGCAGAGAGAGAGAGAGGCAGAGAGAGAGACCGAGAGAGGGAGAGAGAAGCAGAGAGAGGCAGAUAGAGAGAGAGGGAGCGAGAGCGAUCUCGUGGUGUACAUAUCUGCUCAUAUGUGAUGCUAUUUUCGGGGACCACUUUUUGCUAGUGAGCGCUACUUUCAGAACUAGUGGCUGCAAAAGUAUCCGGAGAAUCUCUUUAAACACGGAGACAGAUGUUGCAUGUAUAUGAAAUACUAUUUAUAUUUUUAUAUAAACACCAGAAGAGUGAAUAUGUGUAUACUAUAGACCUGUGGAACGUGUAUGUAUUGAGUUAUGAUUGAUCAUGUUCUCCUUUUUGGGAAGUAUUGAGACCAUUGACUUUUGUUAUGUUACAGCCUUAUUCUAAAAUUGAUAAAAUUGUUUUUUCCCCUCAUCAAUCUACACAUAAUCCCCCAUAAUAACAAAGCUGCACAGCUAUUUUCAGGUCUCUCCAGAGAUGUUCAAGUUCAGGGUUCAAGUCCAGGCUCUGGCUGGGCCACUCAAUGACCUUUUUCAGAGACUUGUCCCGAAGCCACUCCUGCAUUGUCUUGGCUGUGUGUUUUAGGGUCGUUGUCCUGUUGAAAGGUGAACCUUCGCCCCAGUCUGAGGUCCUGUGUGCUCUGGAGCAGGUUUUCAUCAAGGAUCUUUCUGUACUUUGCUCCGUUCAUCUUUUGCCUCAAUCCUGACUAGUCUUCUAGUCCCUGCCACUGAAAAACAUCCCCACAGCAUGAUGCUGCCACCACCUUGCUUCACCAUAGGGAUGUUACCAAGUUUCCUCCAGACGUGACGCUUGGCAUUCAGGUCACAGAGUUUAAUCUUGGUUUCAUCAGACCAGAGAAUCUUGUUCCUCAUGGUCUGAAAGUCCCUUAGGUUCCUUUUAGCAAACUCCAAGCGGGCUGUUGUGCAUUUUACUGAGGAGUGGCUUCCGUCUGGCCACUCUACCAUAAAGGCCUGAUUGGUGGAGUGCAGCAGAGAUGGUUGACCGUCUUGAAGGUUCUCUCAUCUCCACAGAGGAACCAUAGAGCUCUGUCAGAGUGAGUAUCAGGUUCUUGGUCACCUCCCUGACCAAGGCUCUUCUCCUCCCCUCUUCUUGCUCAGGUGGCCAGCUCUAGGAAGAGUCUUGAUGGUUCCAAUCUUCUUCCAUUUAAGAAUGAUGGAGGCCACUGUGUUCUUGGGGACCUUCAAUGCUGCGACAUUUUUUUGUACACUUCCCCAUCUGUGCCUCGACACAGUCCUGUCUCGGAGCUCUAUGGGCAAUUCCUUCGACCUCAUGGCUUGGUUUUUGCUCUGACAUACACUGUCAACUGUGGGACCUUGUAUAGACAGGUGUGUGCCUUUCCAAAUCAUGUCCAAUCAAUUGAAUUUACCACAGGUGGUCAAGUUGUAGAAACGUCUCAUGGAUGAUCAAUGGAAACAGGAUGCACCUGAGCUCAAUGUCGAGUCAUUGCGAAGGGUCUGAAUACUUAUGUCAAUAAGUUAUUUCAUUAUUUUGUUUUUUUAUACAUUUGCAAACAUAAAAAAAACUAACUUGUUUUUCGCUUUGUCAUUAUGGGGUAUUCUGUGUAGAUUGAUUGAUUAGUAUUAUUUGAAUCCAUUAAAGAAUAAGGCUAUUACGUCAAGGGGUCUGAAUACUCUCCGAAUGUACUGGACAGCAUGUGAAUAUAUAUGGUGAUGUUUUCAAUUUGAUAAGAGGGUAUUUAUUAGACUGAAUAGUAGCAUGUUUUGAACCAAGACAGAGCACAGUGAGUGAGCAGUGACAACCGAGUGAGGGAUCAUUAGCUUACCUUGUGGUAACUAGUGGUGGUAGCUUCGAUACAGUGUAUUAACUUGGUUAAGUGUGUGUGUGUGUGUGUGUGUGUGUCAUGAGAGUGAAACACCAUGAUGCUGAUAAUGACUCCAGGGUUGAACCUCCCUCUCUGUUGUAUCUGCAGUCUAUCCACUAGGUUUGAUAAUGACUCCAGGGUUGAACCUUCCUCUCUGUUGUAUCUGCAGUCUAUCCACUAGGUUUGAUAAUGUGCUGCAUGUUGCUGUUGUGACUGUUUUUUUGUUUAAUAAACAAGAAUAAGGAAAA
This is a long non-coding RNA of Oncorhynchus masou masou (cherry salmon), 4088 nucleotides long. RefSeq lists it as uncharacterized. The transcript has 2 exons. NCBI's taxonomy places the organism in Eukaryota, Metazoa, Chordata, Actinopteri, Salmoniformes, Salmonidae. The record is from RefSeq and is a predicted model, not a curated record.